Molecule: microRNA precursor, 107 nt
Filed under: Eucalyptus grandis
Lineage: Eukaryota; Viridiplantae; Streptophyta; Magnoliopsida; Myrtales; Myrtaceae
Description: mir-166 microRNA precursor family
Rfam family: mir-166 microRNA precursor family
About the family: This family represents the plant microRNA (miRNA) precursor mir-166. Animal miRNAs are transcribed as ~70nt precursors and subsequently processed by the Dicer enzyme to give a ~22nt product.
Source: Rfam by way of RNAcentral
UUUGUGGGGAAUGUUGGCUGGCUCGAGGCUUUCAUACAUAAUGACCAAAGUGAAAGGGGCAAACAGAGAGUAUGUAAGGCUUCGGACCAGGCUUCAUUCCCCUCAAA